RNAcentral lists this ribosomal RNA (490 nucleotides) under uncultured bacterium. RNAcentral's name for it is "partial 16S ribosomal RNA". It matches the Rfam family "Bacterial small subunit ribosomal RNA", at positions 30 to 507 of the family's 1533-position model. The record is from RNAcentral.
AUUGAACGCUGGCGGCAGGCCUAACACAUGCAAGUCGAACGGUAACAGGAAGCAGCUUGCUGCUUUGCUGACGAGUGGCGGACGGGUGAGUAAUGUCUGGGAAACUGCCUGAUGGAGGGGGAUAACUACUGGAAACGGUAGCUAAUACCGCAUAACGUCGCAAGACCAAAGAGGGGGACCUUAGGGCCUCUUGCCAUCGGAUGUGCCCAGAUGGGAUUAGCUAGUAGGUGGGGUAACGGCUCACCUAGGCGACGAUCCCUAGCUGGUCUGAGAGGAUGACCAGCCACACUGGAACUGAGACACGGUCCAGACUCCUACGGGAGGCAGCAGUGGGGAAUAUUGCACAAUGGGCGCAAGCCUGAUGCAGCCAUGCCGCGUGUAUGAAGAAGGCCUUCGGGUUGUAAAGUACUUUCAGCGGGGAGGAAGGGAGUAAAGUUAAUACCAUUGCUCAUUGACGUUACCCGCAGAAGAAGCACCGGCUAACUCCGUG